This 1074-nucleotide ribosomal RNA is filed under the name Mononchus truncatus. Its description in RNAcentral is "LSU rRNA". It matches the Rfam family "Eukaryotic large subunit ribosomal RNA", at positions 38 to 944 of the family's 3401-position model. The record is from RNAcentral. Lineage: Eukaryota; Metazoa; Nematoda; Enoplea; Mononchida; Mononchidae.
GCAUAUUAUUAGGCGGAGGAAAAGAAACUAACAAGGAUUUCCCUAGUAACGGCGAGUGAAAAGGAAAAAGCCCAUCGCUGAAUCCCUUGGCAUUUGCCCUGGGACCUGUAGCGUUAAUGAAAGUCGCUCUGCUGGCGCUAUUAUCGUAAGCUCCCUUGAUUGGGACCCCAUAGAGGGUGGAAGGCCCGUAACGAUAUGUUAGCUAGCGGUAUGAUUUUCAAAAGAGUCGGGUUGCUUGAGAGUGCAGCCCAAAGUUGGUGGUAAACUCCAUCUAAGGCUAAAUAUGACCACAAGACCGAUAGCGAACAAGUACCGCGAGGGAAAGUUGAAAAGAACUUUGAAGAGAGAGUUCAAAAGGGCGUGAAACCGUUUAGAAGCAAACGGAUAAAGCCGCAAGGUAGUUGCAAAAAUCAGCUAGGCAAAUGGGUGAACACUUGUCGGUCGAUCGAUUAAACGACUGGCUAUGUUAUUAGCCUCUGUCUGGUGCACUUUUUGCGAUGAAGCAUUGCGACCAAGGUGAAUUCUGACGGAAGGGUGAGCUUGAAGGCAGAGACGAGUUUUCUGUAACUAGGCUCCUUGAAAGUCAGUACAUAACUUUGGUUCCCCUAGCAGCGGCCGUAGGAGUAGUGAAAUUUGGUGGCUGGCUUGGUCGAAAUGUCUGAUUCUGCUUGCAGGGUUGGGCGAUUCCUAGGCUAGUAGCUGAAUGAUCUACUAGCUGCGAAGGCUCGGCAAUGUCAGUGGCGGCGACUUAUCCGACCCGUCUUGAAACACGGACCAAGGAGUCUAACAUGUGCGCGAGUUAUUGAGUGGUAAACUCAAAGGCGAAAUAAAAGUAAAGACAGCGCUAGCUGGCUUAAAUAUGAUCCUCGGCUUCGGCUGGGGCGGAGUAUUGUCCCAUCUAAGUGGUUCGUCCACUGGGUGGAGAAAGAGCGCAAAUGUUGGGACCCGAAAGAUGGUGAACUAUGCCUGAGCAGAACGAAGCCAGAGGAAACUCUGGUGGAGGUUCGUAGCGGUUCUGACGUGCAAAUCGAUCGUCAGACUUGGGUAUAGGGGCGAAAGACUAAUCGAACCAUC